UAUAAUCUGAUACUUAAACUGUGCUUUUUCUCUCCUCCUUCCUUCUAAUUGAAUUGAAGUCCCCAACAACACACCACACCCUGUUUUGUUGUCUCUUCCUGAUCUCACUAAUCUCCUCCCAUACCUCAUUCCGUGCUUUCAACGAACCGGAGCUAUACACAUUCACUAUCGUAAGUUGUACCCCAUCUCCUGCUUUCCAAACUCCUUCAAUAACCGAAUAAGCUUUUCCAUUAAAAAAUCCCGUCAUAUCAAAACUGCUUCUUCUCCACAUAGUAAUAAUUCCUCCUGCAUUAUUAACUGCCCCAUUCUCUAACCAUUCAAUUUCGUUUGAACCCCACAAAUAAUAAC
Molecule: long non-coding RNA, 348 nt
Filed under: Phaseolus vulgaris (common bean)
Lineage: Eukaryota; Viridiplantae; Streptophyta; Magnoliopsida; Fabales; Fabaceae
Description: long non-coding RNA (PVUL_LNC002556)
Source: RNAcentral